Long non-coding RNA from Gopherus evgoodei (Goodes thornscrub tortoise), 816 nucleotides. RefSeq lists it as uncharacterized. NCBI's taxonomy places the organism in Eukaryota, Metazoa, Chordata, Testudines, Testudinidae. The transcript is spliced from 3 exons. The record is from RefSeq and is a predicted model, not a curated record.
UAAAGAAAUAUUGCUAAUACAAGACUUCUACCGUUAUGGGGAGCAACAACAUGAUAUGAAAUGUUACUAUGAUUUGUGUGGGCCGCCAAGGUAUUACACCAGCGUUAUGCUUAGUUAAAAGGCAAUAUUUUUUCUUUUAAAUAGGACGAGGCCUUUUUUCUUGACAUUCCAGAUGCCGCGCUAGAAGCUUUAAAUUUUGAACAAGAUGGAAGUCAAAACCACCCAAUAGGUUUUCCUGAAAUUACAGAAGAAGACUUAUCAAGUGUUAUUCCUCAAGAAGAAAUGUUGAAGGGGAGCACGCUUAAAGGGACCAAGAAAUUUCCCUCUGAGGCAGCGGCAGUUAGAAGCAAGGGUAUUAAGCACACCGAUUUUGAACAGCCCUGCACGUCCAAAUCCCUUAUUGCACAAAACCAGCCGGCCUUAAAAAAGCCCAAAAAGUCUACCUCUAAAACAGCAUCCGUUUUCAGGGCGGGGGGAAAGGGGCUCAGGCCCCCCGAUUUUGAACCGCCCAAAGCUACCUCUACAACUUCCAGGAACCAUGGUAAGUGAGGCAGAGGAGUUAAAGCCCCUAGUUUUCAACAGACCUAUGCCUCCCCGACCCAAAAUAAAUUAGCUUUAAAAACAAACAACUCUGUAGAAGCAACCGUGUUUAGGGGUGGGUUUGAGCAGGGUGAAGAAGUUAACCCCCCCGGCUUUUGGAACCCGCAAAACCCUUGCUACAAAUAACAAUCUUCCUGUGGGGCUGGCCGCAUCAGUUGCUGCUUGUAACGAGCUGUUUAGUGUUUGUACGUCUCUAAAGCGUUUAAUAGAUAAAAG